Molecule: transfer RNA, 67 nt
Filed under: Leptocimbex linealis
Lineage: Eukaryota; Metazoa; Arthropoda; Insecta; Hymenoptera; Cimbicidae
Description: tRNA-Leu
Source: RNAcentral
ACUAUUUUGUCAGAUUAUUGUAAUAAAUUUAGAAUUUAUUUAAGUAUAAUUAUUUAUACAUAUAGUA